Amphimedon queenslandica is the source of this 227-nucleotide long non-coding RNA. RefSeq lists it as uncharacterized. The record is from RefSeq and is a predicted model, not a curated record. Lineage: Eukaryota; Metazoa; Porifera; Demospongiae; Haplosclerida; Niphatidae. The transcript is spliced from 3 exons.
GUGAGUAUAUUGUGUGGUCUAUUAACUGUCAGUGUUAUUGUUCAUAUCUACUACUUUAUAAGAAAGAAAAGUUCAUGCAUCAAUAAGCAAGCAAAAGCUGAUGAUGAUAUUUCAAUGCAAGCAUGUGGACCAUAUGCAAUUCACAAGACUAAACAAAGUGAAGAGAAUGAAGGAGUUUAUGAUGAAUGCCAAACAUCACCUGAUGAUGUUUAUGAGCAUAUAUCACA